RNAcentral lists this small RNA (29 nucleotides) under Bombyx mori (domestic silkworm). RNAcentral describes it as "ovarian small RNA-17197". Lineage: Eukaryota; Metazoa; Arthropoda; Insecta; Lepidoptera; Bombycidae. The record is from RNAcentral.
GGAACUUUUCCCACGGUCGCGGGCCCGGG